UACGUAGGGUGCGAGCGUUGUCCGGAAUUAUUGGGCGUAAAGGGCUCGUAGGCGGCUUGUCGCGUCGGGAGUGAAAACCUUGGGCUUAACUCAGGGCUUGCUUUCGAUACGGGCAGACUAGAGGUAUGCAGGGGAGAACGGAAUUCCUGGUGUAGCGGUGAAAUGCGCAGAUAUCAGGAGGAACACCGGUGGCGAAGGCGGUUCUCUGGGCAUGAUCUGACGCUGAGGAGCGAAAGUGUGGGGAGCGAACAGG
RNAcentral lists this ribosomal RNA (253 nucleotides) under uncultured bacterium. Its description in RNAcentral is "partial 16S ribosomal RNA". It matches the Rfam family "Bacterial small subunit ribosomal RNA", at positions 524 to 776 of the family's 1533-position model. The record is from RNAcentral.